AUGUAUUUAUUAAUGUUAUGUGUGACUGGGACUUAACAACAGCUUCCAUUUUUGCUCGGAGUUUUUUACUUGAUCAGAAGCACAGAAUUGUCAAAAAAAAAUUCAAGCACUGUUUUUCACACAUCUCUUGAAAACAUGAAUAGGCAGGAAGGAAGGGAGAUCAAUACAUUUUAUUUUUCUUUCCCAUCCUCUAUGAAAGUGGUAAAGAGAAACAUCACUCAUCCCUGCUAGUGAAAAUUGGACUCUAAGUAUCCAAUGUUUUGCCAAAGCCAAAAAAUAACUUUGAAAGUAAAUUAUAUUCCUUGCUUUACAGCUGAGUGACCUACUGAGGAUUUGUAAUUAAAUAUGGCACCAUUUUUAAAUACGGAGUAGACUUCUGAGUUGAGAUACUAUGUUCUGGUAUUCUUGUCUAAAAUAGCUUCCACAAGAACCUAAAUUUUAUUGAAAAAUACUUAACGACAUCUUUUUCACAAAUGAGUUUAUUCAGACUGAAUGCAAACGCCUUGAAGGAAUACUUUGCGUUUAGUGUAUGGAAAGGCAUAUACCUGAGAUCACUGAGCAAAACGCAAAGAGCCCUAAUAGAAAUGUUUGUAUCUGCCUAGACCGCAGGGCCUCCAACUUGUUGCCCAGAGAAGAAUUAGUCCCAUAAGCACCCUUAUUAGGGAAGAGAAACCAGCCAGAGGCUGAACAAUAGACACUGUGUGAGUAGUGAGUUGGUCACAGGAAAUAAAACAUGUAUCUAUGUCUAUACUAGCUUUGAAAUAUAGUGAUCAAUAACAGCAGUCCAGGUGGUGGGGCAACCAUGAAUAACACAGAUUCAUCAAAACUCAGUGUGCUGUAUUUACUUCCCAUGCUGGGGAAACAAAUAUUUUAAAAGAGAGGGAGAGAGAAAGAAAGAGAGAGAGAGAAGGAAGGAGAGGAGGGGAGGGGAGGAGGAAAGAAAUGAAGAACAAACAUACUUUUGAGCAUUUCAUUGCCAAAUAAAUGCUCAAAAGUAUGUUUAUUUCAAAUGUUAUUAAUCACCGUAGAUUUUCCAGUGAAACUUCUUAAAUUAGUUCUCUGGUGCUGCUGUAAGAAAUCACCACAAUCUUCGUGACCGAAAACAAUACAAAUUGAUUAUCUUACAAUUCUGUAGGCGAGAAGCCAUACAUGAGUCUCUUUGCCCUAAAAUCAAAGUGUCAGAAUGCCUGUGAAACUUACGGAGGAUUCAAGGGAGAAUGAUUUUUUUGUGUAUUUUUCAGCUUCUACAAAUUGCCUUUUGAGGCUUGUGGUCCUGUCCACCUUCAAAGCCAGACACAGGCACUCAAAUCCUUCUUAUAUUUCCUCACUCUGACCCAACUCUGCACCCUCUCCCAUCCACAUUAUUUUAAUUUUCUUUCAAAGAGUUACUUGACCAUGGUCAUUAUGCUAAGUUCACCCAGAUAAUUCAGGAUAAUCUUCCUCUUUUAGUAUCAGCUGAUUAGCAGGUGUUAGAAAUAUCAAAAUUGUUAGAAAUAAGUAAUUGGUGCCACGAAGAAAAGUCAGUACGGAGACGAAAGACCUCUCAGCAAGGCCAUCUUUACUUUCUACAGAAAGGGUGCUCAUUCGCAGAUGGAACCAUGGCGAGAACACACCUGAACAAAGGAAAAGCAGACAUAUUUAUCCCUUACGCAUUUGGGUCGUCCUUACUGCUGUGUCCUGCAUCCAUUGGCUGGAGCGGGACCUCACAGUCUGAAACUGAUACCCGAUUUGCUAAUAGCCUAAAACUUUCCUACAUAGGUAAGUGCAAGAAAGAACAAAGGAGAGGAAGUUGCUUACGAAAGGUUUAAGGAAGCAAUAACAUUUCGAAAUAAGGAAGGGGCACAGGAUGUGAGCUGGGAUGUGCCUGUGAGCAUGUCCGACAAUUACAUAGGAUAGGGCUUAAAAAAGAGUUAUUAGCACAAAGCAAGGAGGCUUGAAGAAAGUUAGUCUUUAAAAUAAACUAUUAUUUCUAACAAUUAUGAUUUAUUCUUUAACAGGGGGGAACAUUGAAGAGGAAACUUUUUACUUUCUACAGCAGGCUUAAUUCCAUUUCCCUUAAUUUCCCCCUUGACAUGUAACACAAUAUAUUAGUAUAUUCUGGGGAUUAAAACUUAGAGUACAUUAUUCUGCUAACAUACUUCCCUAAUGCAUUUCCAUUGCAAUACCCACAACUUGUCACCUUUUCCGCUGAGCAUUUGAUCUUAGCCCAAAUACUACCUGGAUUUAAACAAUGCCUCUUCUCACUUGGAAGAGAACGCUAGAGUGAACGUGGAGCAGAUGUCAUUGUCGUAGUGAAAUGCAGUGAAGGCUUUUCUACGACUACUUUAAAAUAAAUUUUUGUUUGUGACCUUCAGCAGCAAAACAAUCCCCUGACCUUUAUGACUAGUCAUGGAAUUGUCACCAUUGGAAAUUAAUGUUCUUACAGUUCUGCUGCUCAAGAAAUAAUUGCUUUUAAAUUGCUCCAGGGAAAUGUCUUUCUUUUGUGAAUGCC
Molecule: long non-coding RNA, 2491 nt
Filed under: Homo sapiens (human)
Lineage: Eukaryota; Metazoa; Chordata; Mammalia; Primates; Hominidae
Description: HSALNT0197041
Source: RNAcentral